Hyla sarda is the source of this 734-nucleotide long non-coding RNA. RefSeq lists it as uncharacterized. NCBI's taxonomy places the organism in Eukaryota, Metazoa, Chordata, Amphibia, Anura, Hylidae. The record is from RefSeq and is a predicted model, not a curated record. The transcript is spliced from 3 exons.
GUCGGCCGAGUCCCGGACGCUACUGCGCAUGUGCGGGCUUUCUCACUACUCCCGGAAGCGGUCUUCAGCGCUGCUUCAUUCGUCCGGAGCAGCGCUGAAGUAAGGGUGUAGGCGGUGCUGCGGGCAGGCGGCAGUUACAACACAGUGGCAGUUGAAGGCAGUAACCCCGCCUUUGCCAGUUAAGUGCUAAUUUUAAAACACAGAAAAAGACCUGUAACGAGCAAAUGGCGCAGCGGAUCCGGGCAAGCUCAUUCUAAACUGCGUUUACGUCAGCCUCUGCUUCUCCCAGUCUCUUGCAGGAGGGAGAGUGAGCAGGAAGUGAGACAGACUGGAUCACAAGCAGCAGCUAAAAGAACUUUCCAGAUGAUUGUGCCCCAGUGUACAAAAAGAAAGGUCCACAACUGCAUGGUUUGAGAAGAUUGGUGUGGAAGAACAGGAAUGUCCCAUAUAAUGUCCUGACCUCAACCCCAUUCAACGCUUUUGGGAGAUUGCAAGCCAGGCCCUGUCAUCCAACAUCUUUCUGCUCACAAGCCAUGGAGCACCAAGCUCUUAUCGAUGCCACAUUCCUUACCUAUAAUUCAUACUAAUUUCCUGUUUCUUCCAUGCUGUAUAAUCAGAUUGCCCUGAGAAAACCUGCCCCAAAAGUAUCUUGCAACCACUGCACUCCAUUAAUAUAAUAUGCCCAUAAACAUCUCCUCCAGAUGCAUCCUUCUAAUAGUAAUCACAUUACUAAU